ACCUGGGUGGCUCAGUCGGUUGAGCAUCUGACUUCGGCUCAGGUCACGAUCUCACGGUUUGUGGGUUCCAGCCCCACAUCGGGCU
Molecule: transfer RNA, 85 nt
Filed under: Felis catus (domestic cat)
Lineage: Eukaryota; Metazoa; Chordata; Mammalia; Carnivora; Felidae
Rfam family: tRNA
About the family: Transfer RNA (tRNA) molecules are approximately 80 nucleotides in length.
Source: Rfam by way of RNAcentral